ACGGAUAUAGUCAAAUGGUAAAAUUUAUCUUUCCCAAUAAGAAGACGCGAGUUCGAUUCCCGUUAUCUGCC
RNAcentral lists this transfer RNA (71 nucleotides) under Ricinus communis (castor bean). It matches the Rfam family "tRNA". From Rfam's summary of the family: Transfer RNA (tRNA) molecules are approximately 80 nucleotides in length. Their secondary structure includes four short double-helical elements and three loops (D, anti-codon, and T loops). Lineage: Eukaryota; Viridiplantae; Streptophyta; Magnoliopsida; Malpighiales; Euphorbiaceae. The record is from Rfam by way of RNAcentral.